GCAAAGGGGAGGAGCCUGCCCUCUUGAGCUCUUGUGGUGACCUGGGAAUCAAUGUGUGAGGUGGUGCUAUGUAGCAGGAACCCCUCUUGCUUUGCAAAUAGUUUUUUGUUUGUUUUCCUUUUUGCCCAAUAGAGCCCUGCUCUACUGACCCUUCAAUGUGCCCGUGUGCCUAAAUAUUCCUGGUCGUGUGAAAAGAACCCAGGUAUUAGCUGAACUAAGGAGCACAAUUCUGCAACAUUUUGGCACCCAAACACGGGGCUUGAGAAAUGAAUGCAAUUGGAGAAACUGGUUGUUUUACCAGGCGUUGAUUGGAAAUGUGUGCUUCCCUUUAAGCAGUCAAGCUCAACUUGCAGAACUGAUGGGAACCCCUUGGGAAAACUGGCCUCAAAUGUUUGUCUACACAGUCCACAUACAGGGUUCUUAACCUGCGGUGAGUAAAGAAUGUCACUUUCCAACAGGCCCAGAUAUCAUAUGCUCUUGGGACCUCAAGAAGAGAGGAGUUUACCCAAUUCAUAGGUGUGUGAGGAUAAAAACCUAGGGCUGGGCUCAGCUUUAAAUGGUCUUAUCUGAGAUUCUUUGUGAAACAGAUUUUCAUGAAAGCCAAUCUAGAGGGCCUACGUAGAAAUAAUUGUUUUUGCUGCACUUUAUGCACAUAAUCAAGCCAAUUAUAAGACUAAAGUCUAUAUUGCAAGCAACACACUCCUAUUAUGAUUUGUUUUUAACAGAAAUGAGGACGAGACAGAGAGAAAUUAUGUUUCAAAACUUAUCAUCAUUAGUUUCUAGACUUAUUAUUUCUUUUUAAGUUUUUACCUACAUUUUAGACUGACCCUGCUUGUGCCUGUGAACCAACCAACAAUCUCUGGCUGCAGCUCAGAAAGGACAAAAGAGAAUGGGUAAUGUAAAAACCUGGAUCAGUAUUUUAGUUCUGAACAAUUAUCCUGCAAAUCCUGCCAGCUGAUGGGAAUAAAUAGGAUGCCCAUGAUCCGGAGGUUUACUUUUUGGGAAAGUAAAACCAAGGGAGCUAACCAAAGUAAAACCCCAUACACCCAAAUCUGAGCAAGCAUAACUAUAGCCACCAGUUAUCUGGGUGUGUCACAAGACACUCUUUUCUUUCCUUUGUUGGAGGAGAACUCAUUUCCACAGCUUCACUUUAGCAUUAUGGCUUAUGUUAAGGAGUCUAUGCAACUUCCAUGCUGAGACACGUUUUUGGUCCCAAAGUUAAUUCCAAGCUUUGUGUCAAAGGCCUAAGAAAACUGGAUCUUAGGGAUCCAGAAGCCAGACAAUAAUGAAAGUCAAAAGGCACAGCACAGGUGAGCAUGACUAAUUCCCGCUGAUUAAGCCAAGCUUCCUGUUUCAUGGAUAAAGGUCAUGCUAGUAUCCAUGGCAUAAAUGAGGUCUAGAGAACUAAAAGGCUACUGCCAGCAGGGGAGAUAGGGAGGACAUAAGACAGGGCAGCUAUUCCCAUCCCCUAGACCCCCUGUUAACAUGGAUGAAAGCCACUUUGACACCCAUGGGUGGCACCCUGUCACAGUUGGUGGGACUCAGCAAUACAGGGACAGAGGAAAGAAAGAGGAACAACUCACUUUCUCUCCCUCACACACCCUGAGUAUUUGCUAGAAAAAGAAAGGAACCAGGCACACAUGCUCCCCUAUUUCUAGAUGAGUAGCCAUUCAUCUUUAGUCUGCACCCUUUUAGAACAUGUCCUGAACCCCUGGGACUCUUCUGAAAAAAAUGCCUUCUUUUUUCCUUUUUCUUCCUCUGUCCUCUAUUCACUGGUAGGUAGGUAAUGGUGUCCCAUACCACAGAACACUUCCCUCAGAUGCAUCCUUCUAACUGGGAGGAGUUAAUUUCUCAAACCGUAGACUAAUUGGCUUAGGAUUAGGUUCAGGGGAAGGGAACACAGAAACAUGACAUGCCAGCAAAAGGGUAAAAGGUUUUUUUUCCCCGUUGGGCUUUUGGCCUCUCUCUCCCUGUGCAAACUGGUAAAAGGCGUCUGGAUUUUCUAGUUGUCCUUACCCACUGCUUGUUUCGUUUUGAUACAUAUUUUCUAAUAACCUGUUUGUCUCUUCUCACUUUUAGGCCAUCAAACUCCAGUCUGCACCUGGAGCCUUGGAUGAUGGCCUUUUUUACUGGGAACCCUGAAAUAGGCCUCUGAGGGAAAUCUGAUUGCCAUUUUCCCAAAACAGCUUCCCUGACAAUAGGAAGCAAUUAAGAUUGGUCUUCAUCCUUAUCUUUAUCCUUAUUCUAAUGGCAGUUAGAGGUACUUCUUUAGAGGGGGGAAUGAGACAGCCAAAUGCCUAGGCAGAUAAAAAGGUGUACCUGGAAAAUUUCCAACCCGUCACACAAGUGUUUACAUCAGAUGCUUUUGUGUAGAUGAGGGAAACUUCCCAGGGCUUGUCUGGGUAUGCCCACAGUGGACUGGAGCCCAAAAUGCACACUGGAGGAAGUGGAUGGAGCCACGUGGAUGUCAUGCCUUAUGCAGGGGAGGAGCCUGCUCUCUUCAGCUCCUGUGGUAAUGUGGGAAUCGAUCUGUGAGGUGAGGACCUGUUAGCAGGAACCCCUCUUGCUUUGCUGAAAGUUUUAUUUUUCUUUUUGCCCUAUAAAACCCUGUUCUACUAACCCUUCAAUAUGUCUGCAUUCCUAAAUUUUCCUGGUCAUGUGACGAGAACCUAGGUUUUAGCUGAACUAAGGAGCAAAAUUCUGCAACAUAAAGUCAAAGAAAACUAUGCCUAUAUCCAUUAAAUCAAAUGUUAAAAAGCAAAUAUAAAGAAAAAGUCUUCACAGCCCUAGAGAAAAGUGAAACAUUGUACAUAAAGAAGUAAUAAUUUGAAUGGAUUGUCAGAAACCAUGACUAGAAGACAGAGGAGCAAUAUUUUCAAAUUUCAUAGAGAAAGGAAAAAAAGAAAAGAAGAAAAAAAAGAAGACAUAAUAAAACACCUGUCAUUUUAGUAUUCUGUACCCAUUGAACAUAACCUUCAAUAGAAUGUGAAGUAGACAUAUUCAGGUGAAUAAAAAAUCAAGAGAAUAAUAGUUAUGUUCUACAUGAAAUUAUAAAGGAAAUUUCUCAGACUAGGUGGAAAUUAUACUAGUGAGAAACAGAUUUGAAGGACUAAAGGAAGAGAUGAUAGACUGACAAAGUCAAUUUUUAAAAGCCAGAUCUAACUUCUUAUUGGCUACAAGGAAUCCACUUUUAAUAUACAAAAAUAGGUAAUAAUUAAAUUGCUAGAAAAUACAUUUCAAAUAAAGAAUCAGCACAUGUAGCUUGGAGAAGAUAUAUUAACAUAAAAAGGACUUCAAUAAAAGGAGUAUUAUGAGAAGACAUUUAUGCAGCCAAAAAACACAUGAAAAAAUGCUCACCAUCACUGGCCAUCAGAGAAAUGCAAAUCAAAACCACAAUGAGAUACCAUCUCACACCAGUUAGAAUGGCAAUCAUUAAAAAGUCAGGAAACAACAGGUGCUGGAGAGGAUGUGGAGAAAUAGGAACACUUUUACACUGUUGGUGGGACUGUAAACUAGUUCAACCAUUGUGGAAGUCAGUGUGGUGAUUCCUCAGGGAUCUAGAACUGGAAAUACCAUUUGACCCAGCCAUCCCAUUACUGGGUGUAUACCCAAAGGACUAUAAAUCAUGCUUCUAUAAAGACACAUGCACAGGUAUGUUUAUUGCGGCACUAUUCACAAUAGCAAAGACCUGGAACCAACCCAAAUGUCCAACAAUGAUAGACUGGAUUAAGAAAAUGUGGCACAUAUACACCAUGGAAUACUAUGCAGCCAUAAAAAAUGAUGAGUUCAUGUCCUUUGUAGGGACAUGGAUGAAAUUGGAAAUCAUCAUUCUCAGUAAACUAUCACAAGGACAAAAAACCAAACACCACAUAUUCUCACUCAUAGGUGGGAAUUGAACAAUGAGAUCACAUGGACACGGGAAAGGGAACAUCACACUCUGGGGACUGUUGUGGGGUGGGGGGAGAGGGGAGGGAUAGCAUUAGGAGAUAUACCUAAUGCUAAAUGAUGAGUUAAUGAGUGCAGCACACCAGCAUGGCACAUGUAUACAUAUGUAACUAACCUUUACGUUGUGCACAUGUACCCUAAAACUUAAAGUAUAAUAAUAAUAAAAUAAAAUAAAAUAAAAAUUUAUCAGAAAAACAAUAUCAAUUAUAAUGUAUAUACCUAAUAAGAGAGCUCAAAAUAUUUGAAACAAAUCUGACAGAAUUAAAAAGAAGAAUGGAUAAAUUCACAAUUAUAGAAAAAGAUUAUACACCAGUUUCUUAAUAAUUGAUACAACCACUGGAGAAAUAAUAAGAAAGCAAAAAUAAAGACAUAGAUCCAAAUAACACUUUGUACUAAUCGAUAUUUCUAGAAAACGGCAGUCAACAUUGUUUUCCCGUGUUCAUGUAUAUUCACCAUGGUAGACCCUUUACUGUAUAUAAACCUAAUGUUGAUAAGUUUAAAAAGAUUAACAAUUUAUAGUGUAUUAUCCAGUUACAAUGAAACCUAAUUAAAAAUUAGUGAUUGUAAUCUAGGAAAGCGAAGCUCUUUUAAAUCAUCCAUUACUCAAAGAGGAAAUCUCUAAAAUGUAAAUUCUGUGAAAAGGGAGUUUAGUUUUAUACACUGUUUUGUUCCCAGCAUCUAGACGAGUGACUGGCAAUUAGUAAAUGGUUAACAACUAUUAUUAUAAGAAAUGCCCCAGGGGACAGAGAAAGAAAUGAUAAGGAAAUAUGCAACGAUUUUUCAUGAGAAAUAAAUGAUGAACAGGUUUUUCAUGAAAGAUGUAACAGAGGCCCAGCAUGGGGCGGGAUGGCAAUACACAUUGGUCUGUCUCCUAGGAAACACACAGAUUAAUGGCUAAAAACACAUGCCUACAAAAGACAAUACUUAGAGUUUACAAUCAAGACUCUAUUACGAACUCUAUAAACUAGAGCAAUAUUCUAAAAUUAUUGAUUCUUUAGUUUCCUAAUAGAAAAAACUUAAGAAAUAAUGAAGCAAAGUUUUUUUGUUGUUGUUUUUUGGUCAAGCUUAAUUGAAGUGAUUUGUGUUAACGUGCUCAGUACAGUAAAUGGUUCGAAACAAAGAAAUCAAUGAAUAAUACUAUUAUCACAAUUAUAUGCCGUUAAUGCCAGAAAGACUAAGCAUCUGAUUCCUAACAUCAAGGUUUGUAAGAGUGUGUGAACUUUGUAACCUCACUUAAUCUCUUAGAUAUAUAUUUCCUUUAAGGAAAACAUGGGAGAAAAGAGCAUUUGUGUGCUAUGGAGCAAUUUAGAACACAUUUCUUGGGGGAAAAUGGCUAAUAUAAUAUUAAUAUUAGUAUUAUUGUGAUUAAAUGGAUUAGGAGGUUCUACAAAGAAAAGUAGGUUAAUUUAGAGAAUAAAUGUAAACUACAAAUACAAUAACUCAUUUUAUCAAACUAUUUUGGUGUUAUGGAUUUUUACACAGUGAACAAAACACACUUGAUUUUCUUUAGGAAAUGAUAUACUAUUAAGAAAUGAGUAUAUAGAGGCUUAGCUCUAUUUUUGAAAUGACUCUCUAAGGUCUUACAAAUUGAAAAAGCAAAACUCAAGACAAAAAAAAAAUUAAUUUGCAAAAGUCAGUAUUAUCUACAGGAAUUAACAAAGAAAAAGACUCAAAUCUCUGAAUAUUUAAUGUGUGGGUUUAUGAGUUUUUUUUUUUUUUUGCUUUGUUUUGCUUUUUUGAGAUGGAGUCUCACUCUGUCACCCAGGCUGGAGUGCAGUGGCGUGAUCUUGGCUCACUGCAACCUCUGCCUCCCAGGUUCAAGUGAUUCUCCUGCCUCAGCCUCCUGAGUAGCUGGGACUAUAGGUGCCCACUACCAUGCACGGCUAAUUUUUGUACAUUUAGUAGAGACGGUCUCACCAUAUUGGCCAGGCUGGUCUUGCACUACUGACCUUGUGGUCCACCCACCUUGGCCUCCCAAAGUGCUGGGAUUACAGUUGUGAGCCACCGUGCCCGGCCAAGUUUAAUAUGUUGUUCGAUUUGUUACUUUCCUUUGUCUCCGCUUCCCCUCUCUGAAUUAAAAUCAAUGCCUUGAUUUGUCAAACAAAUAUGUAGUGAGUACCCACUAUGUAUAAAUCUUUGCAUCAUUUGCCACAAAAAAAGGCUGAUAUCAAUUAUAUAAAGCAUUAGAAUGUACUAGAAACAAUAAGGAAAAAAGUGACAGAUAAAUACAACAGAAAUAUAUCUAAUAUUGCUUUAAAGUUAUAAUUUGUAAUUUUAAUUCAACCUGUAGCAGUCUGGUUAGUUUUAAGUAUUUAUUGAAAUUCUAUGGACUGUAUUUGUAAACUGAGAAUUAAAACAAAUA
This is a long non-coding RNA of Homo sapiens (human), 6307 nucleotides long. Ensembl annotates it as p53 upregulated regulator of p53 levels. Its record names the gene PURPL. Lineage: Eukaryota; Metazoa; Chordata; Mammalia; Primates; Hominidae. The record is from Ensembl.